This 77-nucleotide transfer RNA is filed under the name SAR324 cluster bacterium. RNAcentral describes it as "tRNA-Pro". It matches the Rfam family "tRNA". From Rfam's summary of the family: Transfer RNA (tRNA) molecules are approximately 80 nucleotides in length. The record is from RNAcentral. Lineage: Bacteria; Deltaproteobacteria.
CGGAGCGUGGCGCAGUCUGGUAGCGCACACGUCUGGGGGGCGUGUGGUCGCAGGUUCAAAUCCUGUCGCUCCGACCA